Molecule: transfer RNA, 73 nt
Filed under: Camelus bactrianus (Bactrian camel)
Lineage: Eukaryota; Metazoa; Chordata; Mammalia; Artiodactyla; Camelidae
Also listed under: 1 other name
Rfam family: tRNA
About the family: Transfer RNA (tRNA) molecules are approximately 80 nucleotides in length. Their secondary structure includes four short double-helical elements and three loops (D, anti-codon, and T loops). Further hydrogen bonds mediate the characteristic L-shaped molecular structure. tRNAs have two regions of fundamental functional importance: the anti-codon, which is responsible for specific mRNA codon recognition, and the 3' end, to which the tRNAs corresponding amino acid is attached (by aminoacyl-tRNA synthetases). tRNAs cope with the degeneracy of the genetic code in two manners: having more than one tRNA (with a specific anti-codon) for a particular amino acid; and 'wobble' base-pairing, i.e. permitting non-standard base-pairing at the 3rd anti-codon position.
Source: Rfam by way of RNAcentral
GGGAUUAUAGCUCAGUAGAGCACGUGCUUGGCGUGCGUGCACAAGGUCCUGGGUUCAAUCCCCAGUGCCUCUG